AGCGAGGGUGCCUACAAGAGGAGUCAAAGGGCAAAGGUCCUGGGGUACUUAGCACCGUGGCAUAUCUGUAAUAAGCACAUGCACACCUCGAAGGAGGUCUUCACUUCAACAUACAAGUUGACCAUGGCAUGCUCUGGGCUCCAGUCCUCUACAAAGAUGUAGGGCAGGAACUACCAGUUGUCAGCACAGCACCAUCCCACAUUGCUCUUCUAAUGGAGACUUUCACCCCAGAUGUUCUUUCUCGUCUGAUGGGAAGGAUCCAAAUGAAAAAAUUGAGGCUCAAAGAAGUCCACCAAAUUGAGAGUGAAGUAGGGGAAACAGCAUUUAACGCUUACAUUCUAAUGAUUUGUGUAAGAGCAGCAGGACAAGCUAUACAAAGAAAAAGGUGGAAUUAUCAGGAUGGAAUUAAAGAUGCUUCCAAACAGAGGGGAUAUCUCAAGCCAUGACUCAGAGAGUUCUCCCCACAUUAUUAAUGGUAUGGGAAUUAGGAGAAGGUCAUCUGACUCACAUGGAUCACCAUAUAAUUCCUUCUGGAGAACAGAAAAAAUGCAGAAGAGGAAAACCUCCAUAUGUGAAGCUAUGGCAAGGGAGUCUCCCCACCCCGCGCUCCAACAGAGUCUGGAGAUAAACCCUCAGAGACUCAGGAUUCAUGUGGCUCCAUAAACAUGGCCCAAUCUAUUGUCAAACCAGAAUGGUAGAACUGAAAGCAUCUCCAAUAUAGAAACAUAUGGACUUCCAAACUUGUUCACUUGCUAUGGAAGCAAGAGGUGUUUAACUGAAGAUGCAGAAAAUUUCAAUUGAGGAAUGCUAGUCACAAUUAUACCCACAGCUGAUGAGAAGUAACAUCAGAAAUCUGCCGUCUGUUUCCUCCUUCAAUAUUUAAGAAUUUCACUUUUUAAGUCUUUUUGAUUUGAGAAAUAACAUGUUUAACUAUCGUUAAUAUUUGAAUGUCAUACAGGUGAACACACUGUUAUUUACAACUUGAUUUCACUCUGCCAUCAUUCUACUACCUCCAGACAAUUAGAAGCUAGGAGAAAUGUACAGGAUUAGUGUUCACCAAAACAUUUUAUUGAGACAACCUGCAUUUAAAGAAAAUAUUAUGAAAUUCUCAUUGUGCCAAAAUUUUUAAUAAUAUUGCAUAUUUCAUAAAACAAAACUCUAUAAGAGAAUAAAUAAGAUUUAGGAUUUUUGUGUAUUUUAGGAUAACCAAUGCUAUGAAUUAUCCUGAAUGAAAACCCUGGGAUUAAUCUAUAGCUAUUCCAUGUUUAAUUUGGUUAUUUCGGUAAUAUUUUAAAUAAAUGUCAUAAUGGCAACA
This is a long non-coding RNA of Homo sapiens (human), 1315 nucleotides long. NCBI's taxonomy places the organism in Eukaryota, Metazoa, Chordata, Mammalia, Primates, Hominidae. The record is from Ensembl.